RNAcentral lists this ribosomal RNA (421 nucleotides) under uncultured archaeon. RNAcentral describes it as "partial 16S ribosomal RNA". It matches the Rfam family "Archaeal small subunit ribosomal RNA", at positions 323 to 746 of the family's 1478-position model. The record is from RNAcentral.
CUACGGGUUGCUCCAGGCGCGAAACCUUUACAAUGUACGUAAGUGCGAUAAGGGAACUCCCAGUGCUCAUGUAAUGCAUGGGCUUUUGUUAAGUGUAAAUAGCUUGGCGAAUAAGUGGUGGGUAAGACGGGUGCCAGCCGCCGCGGUAACACCUGCGCCACGAGUGGCAUUCACGUUUACUGGGCCUAAAGCGUUCGUAGCCGGAUAGAUAAGUCUUAAGUGAAAUCGUUGCGCUUAACAAAACGACGUGCUUGAGAUACUGUUUAUCUAGGGACCGGGAGGAGUUAGGGGUAUUCCAGAGGGAGCGGUAAAAUGCUGUAAUCUCUGGAGGACCACCUGUGGCGAAGGCGCCUAACUAAAACGGGUCCGACGGUGAGGAACGAAAGCCAGGGGAGCAAAACGGAUUAGAUACCUGGUAGUC